Molecule: long non-coding RNA, 31526 nt
Filed under: Ricinus communis (castor bean)
Lineage: Eukaryota; Viridiplantae; Streptophyta; Magnoliopsida; Malpighiales; Euphorbiaceae
Description: long non-coding RNA (RCOM_LNC001723)
Source: RNAcentral
UUGGAACUGAUCACGGUUAGGAUUCCACGACUCAACCAAACCAGCUUCGGUCUGAAUACGUUUAUCGGGUUCGAGGGCAUAGAGUUUAUUGAGUUGGCACCCAUUACCCUGCUGAAAUUCACGGCGAGCUAGAGAGCCAUGGAAGAGAACAAGUAGGAAGAAAGAAAGAGAGAGCAGCGAAGAAGGCUGAACCAUAGUGGCAGAGAGGAGGGGAUAGGUGGUUCUGGGAUGGAAGUGGCGAAUGGAAGGGGUUGGUAUUUAUAGAGGAAGAAGGAGAUGCAAAAGAAAGAUGAUCGUAAGGUUUCUUUGGUCACUCUCUUUGAUUUGCAUGGCUACUUCAUCUUAACUUCUUACACCUAAUAAAGUCAGAUAGGGCAGGUGUAUCAAAACUCCAUAGAAGAAUACAAAAGUUUGUGAAUGGGGAAAAAGAAAAAAGAAGAAGACAACAUUGGAUUGCAAAAACCAUUACCACAACACCAAAAAGUGAUCAAGUGUCUAAUAACUAUGGUUGAAAUUUAGCAAUUGAAGUGUCAUGUAGGCAUAACUAUGGUUGAUUUAGUACUUUAACUCGAUGUUUGAUCUUUAACGUCCAAGUAAAGAGAGGUUAGGGACAAAUGUUAGAUUUCUUUUCUUCUUUUGCAUUUAAUAUAACGCUCUUUUGCAUCUCCAUGCCCAAUUGUUUAAAUCACACAUACAGAAGAUGAUCUAUCCAGUGGAGUCAAUGUUUGAUCUAUUUCGUUAUAUUUACAGAUUGAUAAUUUAAUAUACUUUACUUAAACAUAUUUUGUUGUCUAUAAUAUUUACUUAAACAAAUCUCAUACUAUAAUUCAAACUGUAUGAUACUUUACUAGUAAUACUUUAAGAACACAAAUCCUAUAUAUAUACACUUAAAACUCUUAUUAAUUCGAAAAGAUAUACACUUGCUCAAAUAACCCUAGCUAGUUGUAACCAGAGUUACAACCACAUAGAUGCCAACAAAUAAAGACCAGCCUGGAGGGCAAUUAAUGACCAUCGUCCCCUAAAUGUCCCUUCAGGUACCAAGUCUGUCUAAGCUUCAACAUUAAUGGGUGUUAAACCCUCAUAAUCUUUGUUCUGUUUAUAGUAAGUAUCACUGUUGGUCCUUCAUAAGAUUUCUUCAAUCUAACCACCUCCUUAUCCUCUAAUAUUUUUUCUCUUUUUAAAAAAAAUAUGUAGUUCUUUUGUUUAGCUUUGAAUUUAUUUGGUGCAUGGCUUAGAAAGAAAUUAAGAUUAGUAAAUGCAAGUAUUGAUCCUCUGUCAUUUCAGGACUAUGAGAAUUAAUUGACGCAGCGGCAGUAGUUUCUUUUGUUUUUUCGUUGUCUCCCUCUCUUUGUUCUUGUUAAUGCCGAAUUAAUUCACGAGGUUAUUAUAGUUAAAUAUGAUAUCAAGUGAAAAAUAAAAGUAGAAAAACAAAAGCAAAAUGACCAUAGAAGCUGGUAGAUGGAAGAAGAGUCAAGAAAGCAUGGUGAACGCAUCACUUGCAUUCUCUACUACAAAUCCAGUUAUCGGUGACAAUUUUGUUUCUGCCACCAGAAUAAUUGUCACAAAUACAACAUAAUAUGUGACAUUACAUUUUAGGAUUAAGUAUUAUUUAUCGCUGCAGUUUGGUCUAAUACACAAAUUGAUUCUUAUAUUUUUUUAUUAUAUUAAAAUUUAGAACGUUUAAAUCAAAAAAAUUUACCCUAAAAACUUUUUCAGCGCAAAUAUAUAGUUAAAUUAUUUAAAAUACGUAAUCUAAACCCACAUUUAAUAAAUAACUUUUUAUUUUAGCUUAUGUGGCUAAUAGUAGACCCAUUAAAAACAUUAAAAAUAUGAAAAAAAGAAUAUUUAGAUCCAAAUUGAGAUAGUGAUCACGGUUCAAUUAACUGAAUCGUCGGCCAUUUUUAAGAACUUAAUAUAUAUAUCAAUUUUUAAAUUUAUGAACCUUAAAUCUAAAAUAUUAAUAUUGGCUAACCUGUAUUUACAGUACGGUUAACCAGAUUUUUAAUUUUUAAUAAAUAUUAAAUUUUAUAAUUUUUUUAAUAAAUUUUUAAUAUUUUAGCAUCCUUUUUCUUUCCUCAAUUAAUAAAUUAAUAAUAACAACGAUAAUAAUAAUAUAAUUAAUAUACUAUUUUUUUAAAAUUAGACUUAUUUUUUAAUAAGAAUUUUUUACUAAUUAAUAUAUUAAAUAUAUUUAUAUAAAUUAAUACUUCAGUAAUUUAUUAACUAAUUUAUUAAUUAAAUCUAUAUAAGCUAAUAUUAAAUAUAUAAUGGAUACAAGCAUUCCACAUAAUCAAUAAUUAUAAUAAAUAUAAUAAUUCUAUAUAUAUAUAUAUAUAAUUUCAGUGGUUAACUAAAACGUUGGUCUUUUAAUAUAGAGAAUCGAAACUAAAAUUGAAAACUGAAAAUUUCUAAAAUGAAAAAUAAAGUUGAAACGUUGGUUCAGUUAAUUUAUUUUAUCAAUUUAAUUUUUUUUUUUUUAUUCAGACAGAAUUCCUUCGAUUUUUUUUAUAUCACCCCUAGUGGUGAUAUGCCCUCUCUCUAUUUACUGUGUGAGUCGAUAUUUUAACAUUCCUUUUAAAUUAUUAUAUAUAUAUAUAUAUAUAUAUAUAUAUAUAUAUAUAUAUAUAUAUAUAUAUAUAUAUAUAUAUAUAUUAUAUUAAUUUUUGAAAUAAGUUUUGAAAUAAGUUUUAAUAUAUUUAUAAAUUCUAUAAUACAUUGUUAGAAGUUAUAUUAUUGAUAAAAUCAUAAUUCAGUGAUGGUUCAAGUUAAAUAUAUAUAAUAUUAUAUAAAAGAAUAAAAGUAUAAAUAUGUGUAUUANNNACAUAUAUACCUCAAGUUAAAAGUGCUAAACUUUUAUUAAUUUGACUGAAUUUGAUAACUUGAUACAGAAUGGGAUUAUGGUUGUCAUAGAAGCAACUAAUUCUUUUGUAAAUUUUGAAAUGGCAGAGAAAGGAAAAGGAAAAGAAGAAAGAAGAAGAAAAAGUAGGAGAAGGAAGAGAGAUAAAAGAGAAAAGUGGUAUUUUUUGAAAGUAAUUACUAUAUAUCUUUCAUAUUUUUUUUAUAUUACACUACUUACUCCUUAAUAUUUAAGAUUAGAUUUUUUUAUUUUUCUAUUUUAUAAUUUUAUAUUAAAGUCUAUUUUAUCGGAAUUUCUGCUAAAGAAUUGUUAACUAGGUUUAGUUUUAUACUAUUUGUCCACUAUGUUUUUUGUGUAAUAUACAUGCCUCCUUUAUUUUAUUUAUUGUAUUAAUUUUUUUUUUUGUAUUUUAAAAAUCAAUGCAAUUAAAAGACUAAAUUGAUAAAAAAAUAAUUUAAUUUUUAAAUUUUUUAUCAAAGUUAUGAUUUUAGUGUAACAAAAUUAAUAUUAAGGAUAAUAUCUAUUUUAUUUUAAUAAUUUAAAGUUAAAUUAUAUAAUUUUUUAAUAUUUUGAUAAAUAUAAUUAUUUUUAAAACACUUAAAUUUUAUUAGAGUUUAAUUAUGCCAAAAUUAGAGUAAUUAAAGAACACUAGUUAAUUAUUUGUGUACGAACACAACUUGAUUUUUACAUAAAAGUUAGACAAGAGAAUUCUAGUGUAACAAAUAAACUAUAAGGGACAUGUGUAUAUUACAUAAAAGAUCAAGGGGCAAAUGACAAUUGUUUAACAGAAAGUUUGACCAAAAGAAUUUUUAGUAUAAAAUAGAGAGAUGAAAUAUAUAUUUAUUAAAUAUUAAGAGGUAAUUAAUAUGAAAAUUUAUAAAGACAAAUAGUAAUUACAAAUGAAUGAGAAUUGUAUACAUUAAACCACCAUUAGCCACAUCAACACUAUUAAUUUCUCUGUUAUGUUGAGAGGUUUGAAUUGGAGGCUUCUACAAUUUAAGGGUAAAUAUGCUAUUCUCACCAAAUAUUAGCAGCAAAAAUGCACAUUUUCCUCUACUUUUAACUGGUCACUAUAUUAAAUUAAUUUUAUACUAAAAACUUCUUUUGUUAAAAUUUCUAUUAGGAAAUCGUUAAUUAGGUUUGGUUUUAUACUUUUUUUUUUUGUAAUAUACAAAUUGCACAUGUAUUUUAUUUUUACACUAAAAUUUCCUUGUAGUUUGAAAGUCAACGUAAUUAAGGAUCUAAAUUGAUUAAAAAAUAUAAUUUGAUCCUCAAACUUUUUAUCAAAGUUAUAAUUCUACUGAACAAAAUUAAUAAUAAUAAUAAUACUAUCUAUUUUAUUUUAACAAUUUCAAAUUAAAUUAUAUGAAUCUUCAAUAUUUUAAUUAAUAUAAGUACUUUUAAGAUAUUUAAAUUUUACUAAAAUUUAAUUAUGCUAAAGUUAGAAUAAUUAAAGAACACUAAUUAAUUGUUUUCGUACAGACACUAAAAUUAAUUUUUAUAUAAAAAUUAGACAAGAGAAUUUUAGUAUAAGGUCAAUUUGUAUAUUGCACUAAAGAUUAAGGAAAAAAUAGUAUAAAACUAAAUUUAGUUAACGGUUGGUUAACAAAAAUUCUAACCAAAGGGGUGUUACACAUGGUGCCCUUUCCUUAGCUUCCUUAAUCACACAAAUAUUUUCCUAAUCUUAAAAACAAAAGAUCCUAAGACAAUGAAAGAGUCCAAACCCAUCAGUCUCUGCAAUGUGUUUUAUAAAACUGUGUCUAAAGUGAUUACUAAUAGAACCAUGAAAGUACUACCUAGUGUUAUUUCUCAAACUCAAAGUGGCUUUGUGCAGGGGAGAUUGAUUACAUAUAAUAUUCUUAUUGCUUUUGAGUUCUUUCAUCACAUGAAAUGAAAUGCAUGAACAAAGGUAAAAAAAAAGUCAGAUGGCUCUAAAACUUAACACGACUAAAGCAUAUGAUAGGGUUGAAUGAAUUUUACGGAGAAAGUUAUGCAUAAUAUAAGAUUUCUUGUUGCCUUGAUUGAGCUGACCAUGAAGUGCAUUAGAUUUGUUUUUUUUACUGUCAUGAUUAAUGGCUUUUUUCAUGAUUUCUUUAAGCCCUAAGAAGGGAAUAAGACAUGGCGAUCCUCUAUCCUCCUUAUCUAUUUAUAAUGUGUGUUGAGGCUUUUUUAGGAUUGCUUUAUAAUGCUGAGAGGGACGAGAAAACUCAUGGUGCUUGAGUUGCUAGAGUUGCUCUCACCAUAUCUCAUUUAUUUGUUGCAAAUGAUUCAAUAGUCUAUGCUAGAGCAAUUCAAUAGGAAGGGGAAUCCAUUAUGUGAUACAAACCAAACUAGCACAACGAAUCCUACUCUAACAAAGAGUCUUGAUGAUGCAAACCUUACUAGCUCAAGGAAUUCUAAUCCAAUAAGGAGUCCUGACUCAACUGGGAAUCCUAAUCCUGUAAGGAGUCCUGAUAAUAUUAGGAGUUCAAGAAUCCUAAUUCGGAGUUCAAGCAAUAAAAAGAAUCCUAAUUCAACUAGGAGUCAUAGUUCGAUUGAAAUUGCAAGUCAAUGAGCUUAUCGAAGUCAUUUUGGCUAAGGACACAUCAAGACUUAAAAAAUUGGAUUUAAGUUCAAGGCUUGUUAAUCUAAUUCAGUUUAUUGGACUUGAAUGAAUUUAAUUGGCUUAAAAUGACCAAAAGAAGUUGAAUUGGAGCAUAUGACAACUCUGGGCCUAACUUGGCUUAUGUUAUGAGGCCCAUCUAUAUGACUUAUGUAAAUUAGGAUUUUAUGGCUUAUUUUGGGUGGCCACACAUGUAUUUUAACAUAAUUAGAACUUUGUUUAAGUUAUCUCUUUUAGUUAGGAAGGUUAUAUUUAUCCUAGAUUAGAUGUAAAUCCUUAUUAGUGGUUAUAUUUAUUCUAGAUUAGAUAUAAAUCCUUAUUAGUUAAGUAAGAGUUCUAUUCUUACUAAGACUUUGGAUAUGUCUUUAAAGCAUGUCAAAUUCGUAUGCCUUUGGCAGAUUAUAAUUAAUUACAGUUUUGUACUUCCUUUCAAAUCAAAAUUACUUGUAUCUUGUGUACUUAUUGAAUGUAAAACUUACUUAUCAAGGAGUUGAUAUAUCUUUGUGGCGUACUUAGGAUUGGGGUUUAAGGGAUUUAGUUUUCCUUAGGUUCUAAUUUUUUAUUAUCUUUCUAAGAGAUCUCUCUUCUAAUCUUUCUUAGAGGUUAAACCGAAUUGGUUCUUGGAGUUUUUAUGUUAAUAUGUUGGGGGUCUGCAAUUCAAAAGUAUUAGAGGGCAUCUGGUCUGGUGAUAAACUUAGAGAAUUCGGUGGUGGUGUUUAGCAUUAAUGUGAGCAUGGUUAGCAGGCACCAAAUUAGCAAUUGCUUGGGAGUCCAGCUUGUGAGUAAAUUUGAUAAGUAUCUUGGAUUACCUACAGAGCUAGGGAAAGUAAAGAAGCAGAUUUUUGGGAUGCUGUCUGAUCGGGUUUGGAAGAAAUUAUGUAGAUGAAAUUAGAAUGCCUUGUCACGACCCCACCCGUGGGCCCGUGACCGGCACUAGGGAAUGGGUAAAGAGGUAAAAAUUUUGAGAAAGAAAGAUUAAGGUCCCUGGUCGAGCAUUGCUCUCGGGGCGCCAGUCUUAUUGGAUUAAGAGAGCCGAAUGGCUACUAGAUUUCUUAUUUGGAUAUUUAAGUGACCAGACUGGAGGUAAGGUCCCUGGUCGAGCUUUGCUCUCGGGGCGCCAGUCUUAUUGGAUAAGAGAGCCAAAAGGCUAAGGCUGAGAGUUAAGUGACCGGACUGGAGGUAAGGUCCCUGGUCGAGCUUUGCUCUCUAGGCCCCAGUCCUGUUGGAAUGAGAGGUUUGAGAUGUUAGAGUUGAGGUUAGUUGAGACAUAAGUGUUGAAAUAAUCGAGAUUUUAGAGUUGGGAUUAGAGUUCUACUGAAGUACUCUGUCCCGUUGCAUGUGGAAUAAAUUUUGUUUAAGCAUGGCAUGACACGUAUGGUUCGCGUGAUUUACUAAUUAUUUUAAAAUUAAAUGAAUGUGACAUUGAGAUAUUUGAAACUGUUUUAGAUAUAUGAUUUUAACUCACUCUCGAGACUGACAGUCUCCAUUUAUGUUGUUUUUCAGAUUCGUGACUGUUAGUUCUCUCGCGACUCUUAUUCAGUAACCCGACUCCUUCAUCAUCGGGUGAAGUAUUUGAUUUGGUAUGUAAAAUGGUAAAUCUUAGAUUCUCCGCAGUAGUAAAUAGUAGAUGUAUCAGUUGUAAAUUUUCUGAGCUUCGGGUCUCGCCUAGUUUUUCUGGUAGACCGAAGUAAUUUUGUAAAGUGUAACUAUUAAGAUAAAUUGUGACUUUAAUAAUAUUAAUUUGAGAUGAGAUUUGUUUAAAUCAGUGAGUGUCAGGCUUACUACGGGUUUCGGUGGCCUUAAGCCUACCCAUUCCCUAGUGCCGGUCACGGGCCCACGGGUGGGGUCGUGACAAAGUUGGUAUCAGAGCUUAGGUUUAGAUUUCCUUCGACCUAAGUUAAGAUUUUUCUUGGUACUGCGGAGUUAGGAUCAUGUCUGUCUUGUUGUUUUCAUUGACUCCAGUGUUUCAGCCUUCACUGUUAGAGAGUCAGUCUUUCCUUUCUUGUAAGCUUGUCUUUGGUGCUGUGCUGAGAAUGAGCUUGUAGCGAUGGGAAGAUCCAGAGCGCGAUAGACUCGUGCUGUUUCUUCAAGUGAUUAGUGCAGUCCGCCUUUAGAAGAUUUGAUUGUUGUUUCGAUGGUGGGCACCGCAGUCAGUUUUAGUGUAGAGCGUGGUUGCAAUCGUGUCAUGGAUUGUCUCGUCAUUGCAUCAGGCAUCGUCUUAUUGAGUAGCGCCGAAAGUAGUGCCUGGGAAGUCGAGUAGAUGUCAGAGCUCUAUGGUUGAGUUUUGGUGAUUGUAAGAAGCUUAAGAAAGGUAGCAGGAGUAUUUUCGGACGCUCAUAAUCCAGAGAAACUUAAGCGAACAUUAUCUAUUUUUCUAAGUAGAACAAGUGUUUUAAAAUACAAUAUUGCGCCCAGUCCCGUAAGAAUGCAUAUGGCAUUUCACUGUUAGGCAUACAUAAAUUCAUUUUAGGACAUGCAUCAUACAUUGUGCAUUGCAACCCUUGGUGAUAGGGGGCAUCAUCACCCUGGCGCGCGAUAUUGUAGAAUUUUAUAUAAAGAAAAAUGGCUAGAGAUUUUACGAUUUUGUAAAAGUAUUUUUCAAGAUAAUAAAGUUUUUAUCAGUGAUGAUUAUAAAGUAAAUAAAUAAGUAAAUUUUUUCAAAGUAAAUAGUGUUAGCUUGAGAAUUCUCUGGAUGACGAGUUGAGUUGCUGAGAGAGUAAGUCUGUGGAGCUGUAGGCCCCAUGUUAGAUUAUAAGGGAGGCUUUUGGAUUUCAGUCAAGGAGGAAUCUUGUGUCAGGAUGGCAUGGGUUAUGUCGGUUGAUGCGAUCAGAUGGAUGUUAUGUCAUAAGUGAUGUGACUCGGUAAGAAAAUAAGGUUAUGGAGACCCUUGGUUUUGUCGGCAGGUUGGUGAGGUGGCAUGUAAGUUGGACUUGCCGCCAAGUAUUAGUAAUGUUCUCUGAGGUCAAAUCCAGUUGUUUGUAAGUCUGAGUUGAGGAAGUAUAUUUUCGAUCCUUUGCUCGUGUUGGAUCCUCAGUGUGUGAAUUUAAGUGAAGAUUUGGUUUCCGAGAAGUAGUAAGUGAGGAUCGUGGAUUUUCAGGUUCGCCAGUUUUAUUUAAGGGUUUUGUCGAUGAGUCUUGUGGUUUAGUUUAGUUUCUGCCGAGGAAAGUUCUCUAGAAGCCGGGUUGGAGUUGAGAGGUUCCUAAUUAGUUUCAGUCUUAGAGUGUAGCCCCUUUUCUUUUAAAAUUCGAGGUCGAAUUUUUUUUUUUAAGGGGGGGAGAAUGUAACACCCGGAAUUUUUAUAUAUUUAAUAAUGAGUUUUUAUUUAAGUUAAUUUUAGCUUCAUUAUUAUUGGGUUUAAUUUGAAAUGAUUAUAUUUUGGUUAUUCAAAAUUUUUCCAAAUGCAUAUUUAUAUAAGUAAAAUUAUAUAUUGAAAAAUUUUGGAAGAAAUUAUAAGGGAUGUUUUUAUAAAAGAAUUUUGAGAAAAUUGGUAUUAUAAUUGAUUAGUAGUAUUAAAUUUUAAGUUGGAAAUUGAUUAUUUAAUUUAAUUGUGUGUAGGAUUUAAUUGGAAAUUUAUUUUGGAAUAAGGAUUGAAAGUAUAAUGUUAUUUUUAUGGGGUUUUAAUGGAAAUUUGUGAGCUUGGUAUUUUUGUAAAUAAAUAUGUCGGUCAGGGGUAUUUUUGUAAUUGUGUAUUUUCAAUAAUUCGGAUUUGGCCCAAAUUAAAUAGUUAGGGGCUUAAUUGAAAGGCUAAAAAGAAGUUUGGGGGUCAAAUUGGAAUUCUGCAGGAUGAAAUUGUAAGUAAUUAAGAAAGUUGAGGGACGAAAUUGUAAUAAGGAAAAGUUCAAGGGUCAAAUGUCGAUAUUGAAAGGAAUGGAAGUCGGGGAAGGAAGAGAGGAAGAGAGAGAGAGAGAGCCGAAGAAGAAGGAGGAGCUGCGGUGGCGUGCGUCGUCGGAGCGGCUUCGGAAGUGUGCGGGGCUGGCCGGCGAAGCUGCAGGCGUCAGCGGCGGCAGCGGCAGCGGCACCAGCGGGCGACGGGAGCAGCUCUCGCGCUAGGAGGAAGAUGGCCGAAGCUUCUUUGCCGCCGUGCGGGCGUUUCCGGCGUCGGUGGUCGCUGAUUUUGGUGCCGAUCGACUCCUCUCGGCCUCAGCUUUGUUUUGGCGGCAGCGGUGUCGACAGUGGUGGCCGGAAUCAGAGAUUCACGGUGGAGAGAGAAAAUGGUGGCAGCCGGCAUUUUUGGGCUUUUCCGGCGAGCUCCGGCGGAGGAUGGAUGAUCGGAGGAUGUAUCCCGACUCUCCUCAGCUCAAGCUUCGCGAUGGCACUGGUUUCGUGGCGAUCGGGCUUCGUUUGUGAAUCGACGGUCGAGAUCGUCCGCAAAUCUCUCCGGAUGAUCGGGUGUCAGAUCGGAAAAUCGGAAGCAGGGAUCGUCAUCAGCGCGUCGUUGUGAGUCUGAUGGUGUGUUCGGAUCGUCGAUCGGACUCCGGCGGCUGGAGGCGAGUCGACCAAGCGAUCGAACGUCUCGGUAAAUUUCUUUGGCCCGUUAAUUUUAGAAAUCCUUGGUUUAAUUUGUGUCUAUGGUUUAUAUUGUGUACUUGAUGAUAUUUGUGAGUCAUAAAUAUUUGUCUGUCAGUUGGCCUGCCAUAGUCGUGUUUUUGUGCUGUGUGGCGGAGUCGGGAAAUAGUGAAGUUUGGGGACCCGACUCCCGUUGUUUUAAUUGUUGGUUAUUUGGAGUGUUUUUCUGGCAGGUCCUGGACCCGUUUUUACGGGGGGUAAUGUUCGUGUUGUAGAGGAGGUUCUGCCGAAUUUUCGGUAGUUCCCAAGUCGAGAUUCUUAGACAGUUAGUUCUAGGAGUCUAGACCUAGGGUCUAUUGUAAUUGUUUCAUCGUUUUGAUAAAUUAUUUUCCGUGAUUAGAUGAUCUGUCUGUUCGGCUCGCUCCUACCGAGGCACCUAAGCUGAGCUAGGAGGUCGCAAAUCUGUGAGUAAAGUCAUAUAUCGUUUACGCACGUGUCAUGCAUAAAUUUGAUUGCUACUGUGAACNNNNNNNNNNNNNNNNNNNNNNNNNNNNNNNNNNNNNNNNNNNNNNNNNNNNNNNNNNNNNNNNNNNNNNNNNNNNNNNNNNNNNNNNNNNNNNNNNNNNNNNNNNNNNNNNNNNNNNNNNNNNNNNNNNNNNNNNNNNNNNNNNNNNNNNNNNUAUUUGGAUAUUUAAGUGACCAGACUGGAGGUAAGGUCCCUGGUCGAGCUUUGCUCUCGGGGCGCCAGUCUUAUUGGAUAAGAGAGCCAAAAGGCUAAGGCUGAGAGUUAAGUGACCGGACUGGAGGUAAGGUCCCUGGUCGAGCUUUGCUCUCUGGGCCCCAGUCCUGUUGGAAUGAGAGGUUUGAGAUGUUAGAGUUGAGGUUAGUUGAGACAUAAGUGUUGAAAUAAUCGAGAUUUUAGAGUUGGGAUUAGAGUUCUACUGAAGUACUCUGUCCCGUUGCAUGUGGAAUAAAUUUUGUUUAAGCAUGGCAUGACACGUAUGGUUCGCGUGAUUUACUAAUUAUUUUAAAAUUAAAUGAAUGUGACAUUGAGAUAUUUGAAACUGUUUUAGAUAUAUGAUUUUAACUCACUCUCGAGACUGACAGUCUCCAUUUAUGUUGUUUUUCAGAUUCGUGACUGUUAGUUCUCUCGCGACUCUUAUUCAGUAACCCGACUCCUUCAUCAUCGGGUGAAGUAUUUGAUUUGGUAUGUAAAAUGGUAAAUCUUAGAUUCUCCGCAGUAGUAAAUAGUAGAUGUAUCAGUUGUAAAUUUUCUGAGCUUCGGGUCUCGCCUAGUUUUUCUGGUAGACCGAAGUAAUUUUGUAAAGUGUAACUAUUAAGAUAAAUUGUGACUUUAAUAAUAUUAAUUUGAGAUGAGAUUUGUUUAAAUCAGUGAGUGUCAGGCUUACUACGGGUUUCGGUGGCCUUAAGCCUAUCCAUUCCCUAGUGCCGGUCACGGGCCCACGGGUGGGGUCGUGACAUGCCUCAUCAAAAGCUAGCAAAGCAGCGUUGAUAAAAGCUAUGGUGCAUGCGAUGCCUACCUACACUAUCUGGUGCCAAAAACCAUUUGUGACAGAGUACAAGCUUUUAUUGAAAAGGGAUAAGCGACUCCACUAGCUUAGUUUGGAUAAUGUCUACAGCUCUAAGAAACAUGGGGGUCUUGGUUUUAGGAAUUUAGAGUUGUUCAAUAAAGCCUUCCCAUCAAAACAAGGGUGGAGACUCAUGAAAGAUGAAACAUCACUGGUGGCUAGAACUCUGAAGGCGAAACAUUAUCCAAGGUUAGAUUUUCUUAACGCCAGAAAAGGGCCUCGAAGUAGUUUUACUUGGCAAAAUAUUUUUGUUGGCCAAGAUUUGGUAAGACGUGGAACUCAUUUAGAUAGUGGGUAAGCUCACAGCAUUAGAGUUUUUGAGGAUGGAUGGUAAGCAAGAUCUGAUUCUUUUAAAGUAUGGACAUCGAGGAAUGGUAUGGAUGUUGAGCUAAGGGCACAGGACUUAAUGAAUGAGACGUAGAGAGUGGAAUAACACGUUCAUUGACUUAAACUCUGUUCCCCUUCCCCAAGAUGCGUGCAAAUCAAAAAAAUCCAAUUAGCAAAUUCUAUUAAGAGACUUUAAAGUGGCAAGAGAGGUGUGGUUUGCAUCUUGUUUGGGAUUGAAUGUGCAGGGAUUUAUUGAUGCAUCACUAUGUGUUGGUUUGAGUAUAUUUUGAGGCACUUGGACGAGGAGGUGUUUGGGUUUAUUUUGCUUAUUUUUUGGGCUUCGUGGUACCCUAGGAAUGUAUUUAUUUUUUAGCAGAAACCCAUGACCUGUAGCAAAAUUCUCAACUUGAGUUAUAAAGUGCAUGCAGACAUCGCCAUCGCCAUCGCUAAUGGAAGUCAUGAGCAGAGCCGGACAACUGUUUCGCCGAUAUGGACAAGGCCAGUUGGAGAGAGACAUAUUUGGAUGGAGGAAGUGCCCAGAGUGCGUAAAACAUAUUUUGGCUGAUGCCUUUCGUUAACUGAUGCUUUUGUUUUUCUAUCAAAAGAAAAAGACACCUCUUUUCAAAAGAAAAUAUUAUAAGAUGUUAUUUGUUCUUUUAUGUUUUAAUUGUUAAACAAUUUUUUCAUCUUUGAUCUUUCAAUUGUAAGAUCUCAUGUUUGCUUACAGAAAUAUUAUCAGAUUUAUUAUGAAAUUUAUUUUGUUUAUUUUUAUAGCUAGCAAUAAAUAGAUUUAAUUAUUAUUAAAGAAAUUCAAGACUCAUAUAUAUUAUAAAACUAUAUUAAUUUUCCAUUAAUAAUUUUAUUUGUUUUAAGAAGAUAAACCUUAGCAAAUACUUUUUAAUAUGAACAAUUUUUUUUAUUUCUACUUUAAAAAUUAUAAAAGUAAAGUAUUUUGUUAGAAGUAUAUUGGAAUUUUGAUUUUACAUAUAAAAUAAUUAUAAAAAAUAUAAAGACAUUUUUUUUUUUUUUUUGUAAAAGUUCUGAUUAGUGAAAGUGUCUAUAGAAUUAAUUUUCUAGAAUUAGACUUAAUUAUGCUUAGUAAUUCAAAAUCUUAAUAAAAUUAGAAUAAUACCCACCCAAUGCAUGUUUAAUUAUAUAUUUUCAUUAUUAUUUUUUGUUAUGAAUAUUUUUAUAUUAUUUAAUUAUCUAUUCAGAAUAUUAUUUUUGAUUAUAAAUAAUAUAAACAUAUGAUACUAAAUAAAUGUAGAUAAUUAUCUAUAAUUAUUGAUUUCAAUAAUGAUUGAAUCAUUCGUUAAAUAAAAAUUUGUUCAGUUUUUUUUUUGUUUCUUUUACUAAUAAUAUUCAUAUAAAUCUAAAUAACUAGGAAUAUUUUAUAAAAUUGAAAAAAAAAAACUAUUAAAAAUAUAAAUCAAACCAAAUUAAAUAUUUCAAUAUAAUUUGGUUUAAUAUUUAUUGUUUAAAUAAUCUUUCAGAGUUUUUUGGUUGAUUUAGUAUUCUCUAUUUUUAAGUACAUAAUUCAAUAGUAUUAAUUUACUUUACAUGUAUAAAAAUAUAAAUAUUUUAUUUUAUUAAAUUGCAUAAAAAAUAUAAUCAAAAUUAAUUUUUAAUAAAUAUAUUAAAAAUAAUUUAUUUAUUAAUAUAAAAAUUGAAUUCUAUACAUUAACAAAGGCUUUUUAUUUGAGACUAUAAUAUGCUGCAAUAAUUUUGAUAAAAUAUAUGUAAUAUAAAANNNNNNNNNNNNNNNAUGGUCUAAUGAAUAUAAAUAUGAUGAUAAAGAAAAAAGAAUAAUUCUUUAAUUAAUAGAUAAUUAUUUUAUUAUGAAAAUUAAAAAAGUUAAAUAAUCAAUUAAAAUUUAAAAUUAUAAAGAAGAAUUUCAUAAAAAAAGGAUUAUAAAAUAAUGUAAAUCUAUAAAAAAACUUAUUUUACAUAGUAAUACAAAAUUUAAAGGAAUUAUCUAAAGUUGAAGUUACAAAAAGAAUUUAAAAAUUUUAAAAAUAUGAAAUAACAAAAUAUUAUAACUAAGAUGAUAAAUUUAUAAUAAAAUAUUCUCUAAAAUAAUAAAAAUAUGUUAGAAUUUAUUGAUUCUCUAAAAAUUAAAAAAAUUAACUUAAGAGUGAUACAAUAUGCUAUGUAGGAGAAACGAAAGAGGUGAAAUUCUUUUUCCUUUCUAUAGGGACCAGGAGAUUGGAUCUAGCCGUAAGAAGAAUGCUUGGCUGAUAAAUAACUCAUUUUUUGGUUUUCGACCCCCUCAGUCACUACAAACGCCCCUGAUCAGUGCAAUGGGAUGUGUCUAUUUAUCUAUCUCUUGACUCGAAAUGGAAACAGGUUUGAAAAAGGAUCUUAGAGUGUCUAAGGUGGGGCCGGGAGGGUCUGGUCUCUUAACGCCUUCUUUUUUCUUCUCAUUGGAGUUAUUUCAAAAAGACUUACCACGGUAAGGAAGAAGGGGAGAACAAGCACACUUAGAGAGCGCAGUAUAACAAAGAAUUCUAUGCUGCGUUCGAGAAGGAUGAAUCACUCCCGAAAAGGAAUCUAUUGAUUCUCUCCCAAUUGGUUGAACCGUAGGUGCAAUGAUUUACUUCACGGGCGAGGUCUCUGGUUCAAGUCCAGGAUGGCCCAGCUGCGCCAAAGAAAAGAAUAGAAGAAGUAUCUGACUCCUUCGUGCAUGCUCCACUUGGCUCGUGGAUAUAGCUCAGUUAGUAGAGCUCUACUCUUGCAAUUGGGUCGUUGCGAUUACGGGUUAGAUGUCUAAUUGUCCAAGCGGUAAUGAUAGUAUCUUGUACUUGAACUGGUGGCUCACUCUUUCUAAAUAAUGGGAAAGAGGACCAAAACAUGUCACUAAAAGACUCUACUGAGACAAAGAUGGGCUGUCAAGAACGUAGAGGAGGUAAGAUGGGCAGUUAGUCAGAUCUAGUAUGGAUCGUACGGGGACAAUAGAUGGAGUCGGCGGCUCUCCCAAGGUUCCCUCAUCUGGGAUCCUUAGGGAAGAUGAUCAAGUUGGCCCUUGCAAACAACUUGAUGUUUAAGAAUCACCGCCAAUACCUCGGUGUAGGUAAGUCUGGUAUAAUCAUUUGUUCCAUAGUCUAGGGCUAUUUACAACUAGCCAAUUAUGAAUUUUCAGAUGUACGUACUAGUACUAGCAAAUGCAUCAAAGAUGUAGUCAUCGAUUCUCCCGAGAUGCCACAAUUACCGCAAGCAAACAUAUUAAUGACGAAGAACAUAUUUUUGCUAUGCUACUAAUACUUAUACUUACUCUGCUAUUCUACCCAAGUCUGACUGAGGAAGAAUUAGGGGGGUAUAAAACAAAAAAAGAUUCGGUCUGGGGCAUGUGGAAUGAAUCUACCAUCGAUAAAAAAAAGAAUAAAAAAAGAAAACAUUCUAUUUCGACAAAAGAUCCACACCCAAGUUCCAUAGCUUUGGGUCCGCUAUCCCGAUCAUGAUUUUUCUACCUCUAGAAGGAAAGAUCCUUUCCUUUUUGGCCAGUUAUGGGCAAGGAGGGAUUUGAACCCCCUGACAUUGUGGUUCGUAGCCACGUGCUCUAAUCCUCUGAGCUACAGGCCCCACCCCCUCUCCAUUGGAUCUGUUCCCAGGAGUACCCUAACAAAGGAACCUUUCCUUUCCCCAGCCAUUUCGGGUUAAGAAGAUGCGAAAGUGCCUCUCUCUCUCUAUAAGAACGGGGCGUUUCGAGGUAUGAAGUGGGAGAAUGGAAUUUCAUAAUUGGGGUUUUGAAUAAGACAACCUUUUCAUUUUUUUUUCGUAUUGGAAAAGUAAUAAGAAUGAGGGAUGUUAAGCUUUUUAUCAUCCUGGAGUCGAGCUAUUUUUUCGCAUGACCUCCCCUAUAAUAUCUUCACCGCAGUAGAGUUUAACUACCAAGUUCGGGAUGGAUUGGUGUGGUUCCUCUACGCCUAGGACACCAGAAUAUCGAACCAUGAACGAACAAAGAAAUGAGAGAAAAUCAUAUUUGCUAGUGAUUGUAAGGCCCUAAUUCUUGACUAGGGGGGACACCAAAGGCCUCUGCCCUUCCAUUCUUGGAUCAAUAGAAAGGGAGGGCAAAGCUUUUGGCUUUUUCAUGUUGUCAAAGAGUUGAACAAUAAAAAUAGAUGGCGAGUACCUAAUCAAAUUGAUCGGGUCAUGUAGGAACAAUGUUCAAGUCUACCGGUCUGUUAGGAUGGCUCAGCUACAUACAUCACUGCACUUCCGCUUGACACUUAUCAUAAUGAUAAACGGCUGGUCUUGUUGUGACCUUCUUUUGAAUUCUCAAAACUUCUAUCACUCCACCCCUGCAGGGGUAGAGAACCCGUUGCUGUCUCGGCUGUGCUACCGAAGUUUCUAGGGAAGUCAGAAUAGGAGAGCACUCAUCUUGGGGUGGGCUUACUACUUAGAUGUUUUCAACAGUUAUCCACUCCAUACUUGGCUACCCAACGUUUACCGUGGGCAUGAUAACUAGUACACCAGAGGUGCGUCCUUUUCGGUCCUCUUGUACUAGGGAAAGGUCCUCUCAAUGCUCUAACGCCCACACUGGAUAUGGACCGAACUGUCUUACGAUGUUCUGAACCCAGCUCACGUACCGCUUUAAUGGGAGAACAGACCAACCCUUAGAACAUACUACAGCCCCAAAUGGCGGAGAGCUGACAUCAAGGUGCCAAACCUUCGCGUCGAUGUGAACUCUUGGGAAGAUUAGCCUGUUAUCCUUAGAGUAACUUUUAUCCGUUGAGCGAUGCUCUUUCCACUCGGCACUGUCGGAUCAUUAAGGCCAACUUUCGUCUCUGCUCGACGGGUGGGUCUUGCACUCAAGCUCCCUUCUGCCUUUGCACUCGAGGGCCAAUCUCCGUCCGGCCCGAGGAAACCUUUGCACACCUCCGUUAUCUUUUGGAAGGCCUAUGCCCUAUAGAAACUAUCUAUUUGAGAUUGUCCCUUGGCCUGUAGGUUCUGACACAAGGUUAGAAUUCUAGCUCUUCCAGAGUGGUAUCUCACUGAUGGCUCGGACCCCCCCGGAAGGGGGCCUUCUUCGCCUUCCACCUAAGCUACGCAGGAAAGGCUCAAAGCCAGUCACGGGGAACAAUGAAGCUUCAUAGGGUCUUUCUAUCUAAGUGCAGGUAGUCCACAUCUCCAUAAACAUGUCUAUUUCACCGAGCCUCUCUCCAAGGCAGUGCCUAGAUCGUUACGCCUUUCGUGCGGGUCGGAACUUUCUCAACAAGGAAUUUUGCUACAUUAGGGCUGUUAUAGUCACGGUCGCCGUUCACCGGGGCUUCGGUCACCGGCUCCCCUGUCAUCAGGUCACCAACUUCCUUGACCUUCCGGCACUGGGCAGGCGUCAUCCCCAAUACAUGGUCUUACGACUUUGUAGAGACCUGUGUUUAUUAUAAACAGUCACUAGGGCUUGGUCACUGCAACCCCCUUUGUGAGGAGGCACCCCUUCUUCCGAAGUUACGGGGCUAUUUUGCAGAGUUCCUUCAAGAGAGUUGUCUCGUGCCCCUAGGUAUUCUUUACCUACCUACCUGUGUCGAUUUCGGGUACAGGUACCCUUUUAUUGAAGGUCGUAUGAGCUUUUCCUGGUAGUAUGGCAUGGGUUACUUCAACGCUGUAGUGUCUGGUACUCGAACAUUGGCUCGAGGCAUUUUCUCUACCCCUUCUUAUCCUGAAAAAGCAGGGACACCGUGCGUCCUUGAACCGAUUACCAUCUUUCGGCUAACCUAGCCUCCUCCGUCCUCAAGACCAAUAAGGGGUAGUGUAGGAAUAUUCAAUUGUUGUCCAUCGACUACGCCUGACUCACCCACUGUGGACGAACCUUAGGUGAUAUAUAUAUAUAUAUAUAUAUAUAUAUAUAUAUAUAUAUAUAUAUAUUGAACUUAGAAUUAGACUCCUGCUACAUGAAUUAUAAUUAAUAAAUUAAAUUACUAAAUAAAUAAAUUAACGUAAUUAACUAAAAAAUUAAUGAGACUUUACCAAUAAUUAAUUUAAUAAAAAUUAAUAUUGAUAAUUAAUAUAAUAAUAAAUAAUAUUAAUAAUUAAUAUGAUAAUACUGGAAAUCAUUAAAUUCGUCAAUCCCUUUUAUUUUGUUCUUUUAUGAAAAAUUGGCCGGUCGUUGUAUGUGAUAAUUAUACUAUAUUGAUCAUUCCUUAUCUAAUGAUUAUCAAUCCGUGCAUAAAAAAUUAAUUAUGAGUAUAAAAACCUAUUUAUUGAACUUUUAGUUUAAAAUAAUUAAGUCUAAAGAAGAUAAGGAACUUUAUUAUCUUUUAUAAAAAUUCUACUUAUUGAGAGUGUCUAAAAUUAGAUUUAAUUAUAUUAAAUAAUUAAAAAUAGUUAACUUCUAGAAUUAAUUUUAUACUAAUAAAUUAUUAAUUAUUAAUAUUAAGUUAUAAAUAACUAAUUAAUUUUUUAACUAAAGGAUUACUUACUAAGUUAAUCAGUAAAUUUGUCUAUCACUCUUUUUUCAUAUUAGAAGUUCUCUGUAGAGGUCAUCAAUUGUAAUAAUUUUAUAAAUUAUUUCCCUUUUUCUUACUGAAGAAAUAUAUUAUUGGUUUAAAAAAAUUAACUUUUUAUGACUUAUGAAGUAUAAUAUUUAUGAUGUAUAAAAUUUUGGAUUCAUCUACUUAUUGGUAAGUAGAAUUAAUUUUAUUAUUUUGAUACUUUCUAGUAAUAAAACAUUCCUUCUCCAAUAAAAUUCAUUCUUUCUUAAUUCUUAUUUUAAUAAAAAUUCAUGUUUCUUACUUUUCUAUAUUAAAUUUUUAACUUAUUCUUCAAUUAUGAUUUUAAUAUGACUGUUAAUAUUAAAAUGCAUAAAUCAAUUAAGGUAAUUUAGUCAUUUACUAAUUUAAUUUAGUAAUUAAUGAUUUAUUUAGUAUAAAUUUAAUUCUAGAAAACUAUAUUAGAAUUUUUAAUUAAAUAAUCUUUAUAAUUCUUUGUAAAACAUGAAAAUUGCAAGUUUCAAGACUUUAAAUUUGAGAACUUAAAUUUUCAUGAAAGAAAGAGAAAACAUAAUUCAAAUAACAAAGUAUUUUUUUCUCUUUGAUUUUUCAUUUGAAAUUAAUAUUUUCAUUGAAAACGACAACAAAUUAGAAAGUAUGUAAUAGUUCAAAAAUAAUUAUAAAUGAGAGGCUCCAAAUAAUCUAAAGUCAAAACAGCCAGUAUUUUGAAUAAGAAACUCUCUAAGGAAAAAUAAUUUGGCAAUUACAUCUUUAUUGAUGGGAUGCUUAAUAAUUGGAUAAAAUUUAACUGAGUAAUUUGGAAUUUGGAAUUAUGGAUUUUCUUUUGUAUAAAUUAAUCAUCUUCACAAGUUGGAUUAUAAAUAAAUUUCAAGUAUAUAGUCUCUAUUAUAAGCAUGUUUUAUAUUGCUAAUUUUAAAUUUUAAUUUAUAUACUAUAAAGCCUUUUUGAAAACUUUAAUAUUGUUACAAAUACUUUCAAUUUGAUUCUAUUAAAAUGUAAUAUAUGAUAUUAAUAUUAUUAUUGACUUUUUAUACUCAUAAAAAUUUUAAAUUUAUAUUAAAUUAUUAUAAUUACAUCAUAUGUAUGGCUAUUUUUUUAGCUAAACGCAGGUAAAAAGAUAUUAGUAAUAUUAAAACUGAAAGUUAGUUUUAUGAUAAAAAAAUUAAAUUUUUCUCUUUAAAAAUUAAAUUAAAAAGAUACUUUUUUCUCUUUCAUUGUAACUAUCUCUAUGGACUCUAAGGAAAUUAAAAUGUCGAUUUUACUCUUAAUCUAAUGUUAAUCGUUUUUGUUUGAAAUAUUAGUUAUAAAUAUAAAUCAAAGUAGAAAGAAUUAUAAAAAUUAUUUAAUAAUUAAAAAUUUUAAUAGAGUUGAAUUUUUAAAAUUAGAUUUAUACUAAAUGAAUUAUUAAUUAUUAAGUUAAAAUAAUAAAUAACUAAAUAAUUUUAAUUAACUAAAAGAUAAGUAAGGGUAAUGACUAACUUUGCCUAUCCCACUUAUUAGCUUUUUCUUUUUUUUUUUUUUUUUUUUUUUAUAUGUACGUUAUGAUAAGUAGAAAGUAUCUUUUUCUGCCAAUCAACUUUUAUGAGUUUACUUUUACAUUUUCUUAAUUCAAAUUUUAAACAAUGGAUCUAUUUAAAAUUUUUUAGUGUUUACUCAGAAUAUCUAUAAUCAAGCAAGAAUGCAGUAAACGGUAAACUCUUCUUAAUAUUGUAUAAUUAUAAGAAUUUGAACUCAUAAACUUUAAUAUCUAUAUUCCAGCAAGGAUGUAGUAAAUGGUAAACUCCUCUUAGUAUGCCUUAAAAUUAGUCAGUGUACUACUAGAUCAAUACCAUAUUGGUGUCAAUAGUAUCUAAUAAUUAAAACAAUAAUAACACAAUAACUCUUUCUUUUUAACUAUGGAUUUAGCAUGUAAGCAUAUAUUUUAUCUUCCUUUCUGUAUUUUCCUUCUCUUUUCUCUCUCCAGCCUCAAUAUCUUUGAUUUGUUCUUAAAUUAUUCAGGUAAAAGUCAGUUAUAAGGAGAGAUCACGAGUCAACCACUAAGUCUUUGGCACAGUAAAAGAGCUUUACGAAAAUUAGAUAGAGCUGUCAAGUUCAAACCUUUAUUUCUCUUUUUUAUAAUAAUAACUAUAAAGAAAAGAUAUGGGUCCAAGUCGUUCUUUGUAAAUAUAAUGUGGCCUUGAUCAUAUUCCUUCUCAUCUUCCGAGUAAGAAUGGGUCUCAUGUUUGGAGAUCAAUUUGCAAGAAUUGGAAUGUUAUCAAAAGCGGAGUGAGAUGGAUUAUUGGUAAUGACAGAAAGGUUCUCUUUUGGCUAGAUCCUUAGAUGGCUAAUAGUAAACCAUUGUUGUUUUAUGCUACUGGCCCGAUGUUUGAGGAAGUCUUAGAGGCAAGGGUCUAUCACUUUGUUAGCUCCAACGACAAUUGGAUUUGGGCUAAGUUUUCUAAGGUCUUGCCAUCUCAAAUCUUUCUCAAAAUUACAAACGUUAAACCUCCUUGUAAUGAGGAUGGUGAUGAUUUUAUGACUUGGGCAUGGCCUAAGAAUGGAAAGUUCUUUGUUGGGACAGCCUAUAACCAAAUGGUGAGCAGUGAAUGGAAUGAGGAAAAUUUCUCAUAGAGGUUGGCAUGGGAUUAGAAAGGGCCUUUAGAGGAUAAAAGUUUUCAUUUGGCUAGCUUGAACAAGAAUUUGACUGCCAAAGUGAAGCUGGUUAGGAGGUAAAUUAAGGAUGUUCCUAUUUUGACAUUUGUGGCAAUGCUGUAGAGGAUAUUCUCCAUGUGUUGCGGGAUUAUUUGGUAGCUAGACAAAUCUAGAAAAGCUUAAUUCCUCCGGAUAGCCAGAUGGCUUUCUUCUUACUAGACCUGCAUAAUUAAAUGUUAAGUGAUACAGGCAUUCAAGGAGAGAUAAAUUGGUCUAUCACCUUUAGAGUUGCUCUAUAGAAAUUAUGGAGGUGGAGAAAUGAUGCGCGUUAUCUGUACAUGACAAAAUGCACCGAUCGUAUUAAGUAAUACAAUAAUAAAUAAGAGCAUCGUUCCACUAGGGAUCUAAUUGUGAGUAAUAUCUUCAAUCAUACACUAAUAUUUAGCAAUCAUAAUAUUGUUGGGUUGUAAUAAUAUUUAAUGGUCAAAUAAUCUUGAAAACAAAGAUUAAAACAAUUAGUAAACUUAUCAAGAAUAAAACCAAUUUAGACAGUAAAUCUCCUUAAUAAGUUAAGUAUUUCAUGAAACAAACAAUAGUUAAUUCAAAUCAAGAGUUGAGUUAGCAUUUCAUAAAAUUAGGUUUAAACCUUUCUCAAGUGAUUAAACCCCUAAUUCCUAAGAGGAGGGAGAGGAAUCUCUUCCCAAACUAACUCACUUAGGUCAUGCAUUAAGAUUAAAAAACUAUUCAACCAAAGGAUCUUGUAGAUCUAUCUUUAGUAUCCUAAUCAAUCCUCAAUCCCUAAGAUGUUAUCAAUUUAUAAAAAGUUAUCUCUAAUCACUUUAUGAAAAUAAAUCAUAGUCAAUACGUCGACUUAUCAAUUGAAAUAGAUAAUUAAGCAAUCAAAGGAACAAAACAACUCAUAGAAAAAAUUAAUUGUAUUAACUUUGAAUCAAUCCAUACAAAACAAAUUAGGGUUCAUCAAAACCAAAAUAGCAAGAAAAUUAGUUCCUAAAAAUUACAAUAGAGAAAUAAAGAUUAGGAAAAGAAGAUCUCAAACUAUUCAUGGAAGAGUAGAGACAAAAAUCUUCAAUCUUCAAAAGUAAUGAAUGAAUUAAUGUUCUUUCUUGAGAAAUAACAAUCAAAACCCUAAAAAUGAAAGAAAGAUAAAGUUUCUAAGUAUUUCUCUCUCUAGAAAUGAAAAUAUAACAGAACUUCCUUAAAAAACCCCUAAAGUCCUUUAAAUAGUGUAUUUUUAUGAUUGACAAGGGGACCACACGGGCACCACAAGGUCGUGUGAUGUCCUUAGCUUUUCGAAGCUUGAAUAUAUAUUUCUUUCUGUUCUUUACUCUACGGGCUAUUUUAGGAUAUCAUAAAAAUUGAAUUAAGGCUUACGUUCUUCAUCAAAGUUGUAGCUUUUGAAGAGUAGUUCAUUUUAAGAUUUGCAACACUUCAAUUAAACCUCUUUAGCUCUAGAUAAAGUCCAAAUACUGAGACUGACCCAAACAGAGAUGGAGUGCAUAACAUCUGACUUCAACCUAAGCUUUCUCAUCCUUAGCAACCUAAUAUGGAGUUGAGCUAUUUAUAAGCAUUAUAGCUGAGGAAGUCCUCUACAAAAUUGAUGAAGACCAGUUUUCAAUUCUAAACCUGUAAGAUCACAAAAAACUACACUAAAACUAAUGCGAUUAAAUCUGCGUAAUGCUGAAAUAUCAGUCUGACACGGAAAGCACACGCCCGUGUGGAUCCUUCAUACAAUCUGCCAUUUCUUACAACUCAAAUGAGAAGGCACACGCGUGUGCCUUCCCGUGUCACAUUGAACUUUGGAUAAAUAUGCCUUUUCUUUGCUAGAUUCUCAUACUUUUCAAUUUUAUUUGACUCAUUAACAUGUAUUAUCCUUAAAGUGCCUAAAAGAACUGAAAAUUAAGCUUGAAUAAACAAAUCAAAUUAAAUUGCAGUAAAAAUUAAUAUAAGAUAAAGCUGAAAAGUAAGUACCUUUAGCACUUAUUAAAUUUCCAAACACUUAGCAAUUGCUUGUCCUCAAGCAAAUUGAAUAGAAUCAGAAAUAAAGAAAUAAUAAACUCUUUGUUUAACAAAUAGAUAUUAAAUAAUAUCAAGGUUAAUCAUUCAUAUCAUUAAAGCCUAGAAUCAUUAGCCAAUAAUUAAUCCUUAAACAAAAUACCAACAUCUAGGGGAAUCACAUAAUAGGAAGUAAUGAAAAUUAAAACCUUAACAUCUAAAGUCAGGGAAAUGAGCAUUCUUUGCAAAUAACCCAAAAUUUUAAAGAAAAUAGAGAAAAGAUUUUUUCCCUGAGCACAAAAAAACUUCAUGAACCGCAAUUACUUAUGUCUCUGUUUUUUUUAGAGAUCUAUGCAUAUUCAAAAUUGUCAUUCUUUUGACGCGAAUGUAGAUAUGGAUGAUGCCAACCCCCAGUUACUUAACUAGAGUCACAAAUCUAAAUAACUACUCAUAUUCUCGGGUUUCUUUCAAUUUAUUUCUUUUUAUUUCGAAUGAGAAUAGCGGAAUAGAGCAAAAAACUCUUAGCAUUGUAUUUUGUUUACGUUCAUUUUUUUGACAUUUCGAAAGAAUAAGAGAGUACAAAGGAGUAUUAGAUGUGUCUACUUGAUAAGAUUAAGCGAAAUUUGAAAACUUAAUGCUCAUAAAUAUAACUAAAGUUUCAAGAUAUAAAAAUAACGCGACAUUAUGAAUUAAAAAUCCUAGCAUGGAUACCAAGUUCAAGUCAUAAUUCAAAGUGAAAUCAACUAAAUCGCAAUUCAAUAAAUGACUAACCAAAUUUAUUAUUUUGUACCUAUAAAUUUGAGAUAGAGAAAAUCAUAAUAAGUAAUUAAUUAAACUUAAUAAGCUUAUAGAAAAUUAAUCACAAAUAGGCAAAAGACAACAAAAAUGCUUCCCCCACACUUAAUCGACAUUAUUGUCCCCAAUGUAUUUGUUAUAUAACGUACAAUAAAAUAAAAUAAGGAGGAGACUUAAACCGAAUGAUUGUCGUUUUUUUUUAAUUCAAAAUUCAUUCUAAUUCACAAGUCAUCUGUUUAUCUAUCGCACAUCUAAGAAUAGAAAUAAAUGUUAUAACAUAUAUAGUCAUCCAAUAACAAAAGAAAACAAAAACACUAAAAAUAAAAAAACCAUAAAUAUCCUAAUUAAGUACAAUCAUCUAAAAAUAAAAUAAAAGACAUAGAAACAAAUCAAAAUAAAAGUCCAGCUCAAAUGCUAGAACAAGGUGGAGGUUCAAAUCCUCCAUACCAUCAUCUCCACCAACCUACAUCAAGGAGCUUAAUCAUCACCACCAAAAAUGCAUAUUCUAAAUGAGAUAAGAAUUGCUUAAGCUUCAAAGUUAGUAGGUAUUUAAUAGGAGGCUUCAUUCUUUCUUUGAUGGGCAUCUCAAUAGCUUUUGAUGUUUUCAGUUUUUCUGGUUUCUGCACAAGACACAACUCAAAAGUAUCUUUAGCAAUAAUAGAUAAAAUUAAAUUGACAAUUUCAUGCUCUAUCAUAUCAACACUAGAAUCCAUAUCAUUAAGUGCAAGUGGGUGUUUUAUGCCAUUGGGGGUUUAAAAAGUCAAUUGCUCAUCCCCUACCCUAAGAAUGAGUUUACCAUCAUGAACAUUAAUAUAGUUCUAGCUGUAGCAAGAAAGGAUUUAUCAAGAAUAAGGAAAACAUCAACAUCCUCAUCUAUAUUCAUGAUCAUAAAAUCCACAAGAAGAAUAAACUCUUGAACCUUUACCAAAACAUCUUCAAUGAUAUCCCUAAGGUAUACAACAGAUUUAUCAGCUAGUUGAACACUCAUGAGUGUUGGUUUAGGUUCUCUAAGUCCUAGUUUCUUAGAAAAAUUAUAAGGCAUAACACUAAUGCUAGCCUCCAAGUUAGCAAGUGCAUUUUCAACAUUUAAAUUACUAAGCUUCUUUCGUAAUCGCCUCUCAAAGAUCGCCGAGCUCUUCUCUGAUAGUUGCACCAUUGACACUUCCUUAAGCUUCCUCUUGUUAGAGAGGAGUUCCUUUAAGAACUUAGCAUACUUAGAAAUUUACGAUAGAGCUCCUAUAAAAGGUAUGUUAAUAUGCAACUACUUAAAGAGUUCAAGAAACUUACUAAAUUUUAUAUCCAAUUUGUCCUACAGAAGAUGGGCUGGAAAUGGUACCCUUGGUUUAUACUCCUUCACAAAAGGGGUAGGCUUUGGUGUUACUUCUACUUUAUCUUCUACUUUAUCUUUAACCGCAUCAGAUUGCUUUUCUGCUUACUUUGUUUCAGUUCAUAAUUAUUUUCCAUUUCUGAAAGUAAUGACCUUGAGUUGCUCUCUAGGAUUUGUCUCUAUGUUGCUAGGCAAGCUUCCUUGGGACCUUUCACUCAAAAGCUUUAUAAUCUGCCCCACUUGAUUUUUUAAGUUGUGAAUCGAAUCUUGUUGGUUCCUAAGAGCAGUUUUUGUAUACUGAAACCUUAAUUCAGAAGCUAAGAUAAAUUUCUCCAUCAUCUCCUCUAAAUUACUCCUUCUAGGAGGAGCUUGUUGCUGGUUUUGCUAUUGAAAUCCUGGUGGUGGAGGUCUUUGCUGAUUCUGAUUCCCCCAAGAGAAAUUCAGAUGAUUUCUCCAUCCUAAAUUAUAUUUAUUGCUGUAGGGGUUGUUCUAUUGGUCUGAAGCAUUACCCAUAUAAUAAACAUGCUUUAGCUUAGCAAAAGUAUUGCCAUUUUGGCAAUCUUGACAUAGAUGACCACACCUAUACCAAUCACAAGUCAUAACUUGUGCCUGUCUUCCAGAUGAAGACAUAGUCAAAGCAUCCAUCUUCCUGCUCAUAGCCUUUCACUGUGCAUUUACAGUUACCAUAGGGUCUACCGCAUGGAUUCCACUCCUUUUGACUCGAACCUACUCUCUUGGAUUCUGCCAUUGAUAGUUCGUGACUGCCAUAUCCUCAAUAAGAUCCAUAGCUUGCUCAAGAGUCUUAUUGUUUAGUGAUCUACCUGCUGUAGUAUUAAUAGACUAUUUACUUGCGUAAUUCAGUCCAUUAAAGAAUGUUUGAAUUUGUAGCCAUAAAAGUAAAUCAUGGUGUGGAUGGCUUCUCAGUAAAUCUUUGAAACAUUCUCAACAAUUGUAUAGAGUCUCAUUCUCUUACUGAAGAAACCUUGUUAUGUCAUUCCUUAACUUGGCCAUCUUAGAAGGUGAAAAAUAUCUUUCCAAGAGUUUCUCGGCCAGCUGAUUCCAAGUCGUAAAUAUCCUACUUGGAAAUAACUUCAACCACUUCUUUGGCUUAUCCCUUAAUGAAAAUGGGAAUAGCCUCAACCGAAUAGCACCAUCUAAUACCCUAUUAAUCUUGAAGGUAUCGCAAAUCUCCAGAAAAUCAUUUAAAUGGGUGUUUGGAUUACCAUUUGAAUGAUGUUAGGCUUGAUCUCGAAGUUUUUUACUACAACAUUUGACCUUAUAAUACUCGAUGUGGCCCCAUUAAGAGUUUGGCAUGCAUACUCCUGCAUGAUUCUCUCCCUCGGUGGAGCUGCCAUCCUUAACUAUUCCCCUUCUUAGUUUGGUUCUCCUUCUUGAUUUCGAUUCUGUAACUCUGCUGGCAUUUCGGCUAAAGCUCGUUCUCGUUCUUCUCUUUGUUGCUUCCUUAAAGUUCUUUCCAACUCUAGUUCGUAAGCAAAUAAUUCAGUUGAACUAGCUCGGGUCAUAUACAAAUUCAAGUAUUUACAGAAAAUACAAACAUAACAAAGAUAAAUCAAAUGAAAAAUAAAAAUGCUAAAUUACUAGCUUUUGAAUUACUAAUGAUAUCACAAUAGAAAAUAGGUCCCCGAUAACGGCGCCAAAAAUUUGAUGCGUGCUAUCUGCACAUGGCAAAGUGCACCAAUCGUAUCAAGUAAUAUAAUAAUGAAUGAGAGUAUCGUUCUACUAGUGACCUAAUUAUGAGUAUUACUUUCAAUCAUACACUAAUGUUUAACAAUAAUAAUGUUGUUGAGGUGUAAUAAUAUUUAAAAGUAAAAUAAUCUUUAAAACAAAGAUUAAGACAAUUGGUAAAGCCUAUUUAGGUAAUGAAUCCCCCUAAUAAGUUAAGUAUUUCAUGAAACAAACAACAAUUUCAAAUCAAGAAUUGAGUUAGCAUUCUACAAAAUUAGGUUUAAACCUUUCUCAAGUGAUUAAACUCCUAAUUCAUAAACGGAGGGAGAGAAAAUCCCUUCUCGAACCCACUCACUUAGGUCAUACAUUAAGAUUAAGAAACUAUUGAACCGAAGAAUCUUGUAGAUCUAUCUCUAAUAUAUCAAUUCUCAAUCCCUAAGAUGUGAUCAAUUUAUAAAAAGUUAUCUCUAAUCAGUUUAUGAAAAUAAAUCUCAAUCAAUACAUCGACUUAUCAAUUAAAAUAGAUAAUUUAGCAAUCAAACGAACAAAAUAACUCAUAGAAAAGAUUAAUUUUAUUAACUUUGAAUCAAUUCAUGCAAAAUAAAUUAGGGUUCAUCAAAAUCCAAAUAGUAAGAAAACUAGUUCCUAAACAUGACAAUAGAGAAAUAAAGAUUAGAGAAAAAAGAUCUCAAACUAUUUAUAGAAGAAUAGGGAUGGAAAUCUUCAAUCUCGGAAAGUAAUGAAGGAAUUGAUAUUCUUCCUUCAGAAAUAUUAAUCAAAACCUUAAAAAUGAAAGAAAGAGAAAGUUUAUAAGUGUUUCUUUCUCUAAAAAUAAAAAUAUAACGGAACUUUCUCAACACAACCCUAAAAGUUACUUAAAUAGUGUAUUUUUAUUACACGGGCACCACACAGCCGUGUGACGUCCUUAGCUUUUCGUAACUUGAAUAUGUGUCUCUUUUCAUUCUUUACUUUGCAGACUAUUUUAGGGCAUCGUAAAAAUCUAAUUGAGGCUUACAUUCUUUAUCAAAUUUUAGCUCUUGGAGAUUAGUUCAUUUUAAUAUUUUGAAUCACCUCAAUAAGACCUCUAUAUCUCUAAAUAAGGCCUAAACACUAAGAUUGACCUAAACAAAGACGGACUGCACAACAUCUGAUUUCGAUCCAAGUUUUCUCAUCCUUAGCAACCUAAUAUGGAGUUAAGCCAUUCAUAAGAAUUAUAGCUUAGGAGGUCCUCUAUAAAGUUGAUGAAGACCACUUUUCAAUCCUGGACCUUUAAGAUCACAAAAAAGUAUAUUGAAGCUAAUGAAAUCAAAUAUGCGUAAUGCUGAAAUUCGCCUAUUAAUAUGACACGAGAAGCACACGCCCGUAUGGGCUUCCCAUGUGGACCCUUCAUGCAUUUGCCAUUUCUCACAAUGGAAGACUACAUGCUUGUGUGGCUUCCCGUUUCACACUGAGUUUUGGAUAAAUAUGACUUUCUUUUGCCCGAUUCUCAUACUUUUUAAUUUUAUUUGACUCUUUGAUAUGUAUUAUCCUUAAAGUGCCUAAAACAAUUAAAAAUUAAGCUUGAACAAACAAAUCAAACUCAAUUGAAAGUAAAAUCAAUAUAAAAUAAAGCUAAAUAAUAAGUGCUUUUAGCACUUAUCAAGAAAUGAACUCUUUUUUUAAAAUGCAAGCUUGUGGAAGGAGCGAAUGAUAUCUGACAUUCUUUGUUUUUAGCUGAAAUUGCAAGGACUGCCGAAGGUCAUGGUAGUAGAAGCUAUAACGAGUUGCUUGUCUAUUAGACACCUUCAAAGGGACCCAGUUUAAAGCUCAACACUGAUGUGGCUUUCUGCUCGAAUACUAUGCAUGUGAAUGGGGGUGGGGUUCUGCAGGAUGUUAAGGCUAUGUGGCAGGAAAGCUUUAUCAUGAAUAUAGGGUGUUGCUCAAUUACUAAGGUGCAGGUAUGGGCCUAUUUAAAGGUCUACAUUUUGCUUGGGAGAGAGGAGUUUGAAACCUAGAAUUAGGGCUGAUAGCUUGUGUAUCGUGCAGCUUGUCGAAAGUCAAAAAUUAGGGAUCAACACUCACUGCCAGCUUACGAAGGGUAUUAAGAAUCUUUUGUCUAGGAAUUGGCAAGUCUUAUUAAGGCAUAUCUUCAGAGAGGCCAACAGGGUAGCUAAUUAGCUAAUAAGCUUUGCUUCAACUUUUCCAUUGGUUUUUAUAGGGAUAAUAAUAUAAAUGGUCACUAAACUUUGCAAUUAAUUUUAUUUGGAUUAUAAAAUUUUAAUUUAUUUUAUUUCAACAAUUCAAUAUUAGUUUUAGUUGUAAUUUAGUCACUUUGCCAAUAAAAAAUUGCCAUGUCACAAUUUUCUUACUUAAUUAUAUUUUUCUUAUUAAUUGUUUUUACUACCAUCAAUCUUGUAUUUAAGAAGUGAAUAAUUGAAAUAAAAUUAAGAUUAAAUGACAAACAAAAAAAAAAAGAUUUUAUGAUUAAAAUAAAACGGAAUACAAAGUUGUUUUAAAGAAUCCGCCGGUCAUCUCUUAUUUCAGGAUGUUGUUGACUACUAGUAGAGUUAUCAGUAUUUAUUAGCUUUCUUUAAAUCUCUUUUUUGUAAAAGAAGAAAAAAAGGAGUGCGAGUCAAUUUUUCAGUUCAACAUUUAUUCUCAAGUAGAAGCUCUCUCUUAUUACAAACUGAAGAGAUGAGACCAUCCAUCAAAGUCUUCUUUUAUUUUUCCGGACUUCGCAUUGACCUACACAUCCCCCCGCUCCCCAUAGAAAAAGAUAAAAAAAGGCCAUGUACGCCUUUCUCAGUACAAAGCUUAAGCAUCAUAAUGCCUUCUUCCUGACUGGAACCUUGAGCUACCUAAGGUUGUUUCCUCUCUAGCAAACUUGAUUCUCCUUGCCUCUUCUAUCGACACCCGGAAUGCAUUGGCAAUCACCUCCACUGGCAUGCCGCGAACAGCAGAAGUGCGGCCGGAAAGAUCAGAGGUCAUGGCAUUGUCGUUGGUCUUGAAGGCAACGUAUUCGAAUCUGUCACUCUCUGACCGUUUCACCACCACAAAGUUCUGUGGCACGGUCAGGACCUGUCCUUCUCGUACAUUUCCAUCGAACACACUGUUGCCGUUCUCAUCCACCACCUGAAUCCGUGCUUGACCCUUCACGGCAUAGAUUACGCUGUGGGCAUUUAUAUGCCAGUGGGGUAACCUCACAGCAUCCUGCCAGGAACAUAUCAAUCAUUAUAAGUUGUGGAAGCGCUUCAUUAUAGUUAGAAUCGAAGGAGCAUUGAUGACUUACAUUGCGAAGAACGACAUGCGAAGCACUGAGUUGGAGCCAUCGCAGAAUAGGGAGGUUGUGGCUGUUGACAGUGCUAACACGGCCAACUUCUGGGACAAAUACAUCAGAGCGAGAGGGAUCAGCAAUGUUCUCUUUCAUUCUCAUGGUGCAAAAUGUCUCCUCAACGCCAUUGUAACGUCCUGGUCGGCCUUCUUGCUCUCUCUCUCGUUGUUCCUCUCUCUCCUGUUGAGUCCUGGGUGGCCUAACUACCAGAAGCCUACCUUCUACAUUCACAAUGCUGCCUCUGAAGUCACUUUGGCCUUGAAGUUUCCUAGCCAACUGCUCGUCCACGUUGAAAGCUUCGGCAAGGACUCUUGAGUCUAUUCCGCAGAAAAGAUUGUUGCAAGAAACAUGUGGCGGCUGACUUGGACGGCGAGAAAAUUGAUGCUGGCCGCGCUCAUAGUCGCCGCGUGGAAGUCGUGGGAACACAUCUUCUGUAUUGCCAGCUAGAUAAAAGUCCUGUUAACAAGUUCAAGAAAAACCAUAAAAUGUGAAUUAACGCCUAACAAACACCUGACCGCAUAUACAUGCGUAGGUAGGCAUAUGUUUUUGUUUCUUACUCUGGGGUUCCUAUCAAGCUGGUUGCCUAUGUUGGCAGUGUCAAGCACAGAAAUAGUAACGACAGGCUCAUUGCCGUCAUUGUAGCACCAGUGGGCUACUCCAGCAGGCAAAGCAAUAACAUCGCCCUUACGGAAAUGACGAAUCUUCUGGUGCUGAUCACGAACUCUGCUGCUGCCACCUGAUUGCUGAGACUCUUGGAGUGUUUCAGCACAUCCCGGGAGCAAGACCCCUGUCAUUCCUCUACCUGUAUAUAAACAAAUUAAUCAUCUCAUAAUCCAAAAUUCCAAGCACAUUAACUCACAUAUACCGCUUGGUGUAUAUAAUUUCAGCUUUUGAAUAUAUAAUUUUACCCUGGACAACGUAUAAGAGUUGAGGAGCAUUGCUAUAGGAUGGCAAUAGAAGGCCAUUGGGAUGAAUGGUGCGCCUAACAACAGCAACACCAGCGCAUUGGAACUGAUCACGGUUAGGAUUCCACGACUCAACCAAACCAGCUUCGGUCUGAAUACGUUUAUCGGGUUCGAGGGCAUAGAGUUUAUUGAGUUGGCACUCAUUACCCUGCUGAAAUUCACGGCGAGCUAGAGAGCCAUGGAAGAGAACAAGUAGGAAGAAAGAAAGAGAGAGCAGCGAAGAAGGCUGAACCAUAGUGGCAGAGAGGAGGGGAUAGGUGGUUCUGGGAUGGAAAUGGCGAAUGGAAGGGGUUGGUAUUUAUAGAGGAAGAAGGAGAUGCAAAAGAAAGAUGAUCGUAAGGUUUCUUUGGUCACUCUCUUUGAUUUGCAUGGCUACUUCAUCUUAACUUCUUACACCUAAUAAAGUCAGGCAGGGCAGGUGUAUCAAAACUCCAUAGAAGAAUACAAAAGUUUGUGACUGGGGAAGAAGGAA